AUCACCGACACGAGAAGCUAUGUUAUUUGCUGGCAGGCUCUCCACGGAUGCAAUCUUCCACCACUCCAGCAACACCUCCGAAGUCCUCAAGCAGCGGUGUUCUCCGGCAACGCAAGGGCGUCCUUCAUCUUGGCGUCGAGUUGUAGCAAUCCCGGUGCCUGCCUCUGGAGCCGGCUCGGGGGUUUCUCGCCUUCCUUGCCGUUCUAACCGGCCUCCUCUGUUGCUCCAAUAGCUAGCACUGCAUUCCUUGUCGAGAGUCCAAGUGCGAGUGUCGCAAACGAUGCUCUCUUCUUCUCGUCGUCGUCUGAUCUGCACAAGCGGCUGCACCUUUUUUCUUCACUGGUAAAAAGUUCUUCUCCAGCAGAUCUGCACGUCUAUUUUCCUUCAGUAGAGAACUGCUGUAGCUCUCUAAUCUCUACCGCACUGCAAAUAGCUUCUUCUUGGGAAGAGACCAGAAAAAGACUGCUUUCCCCAGAGCAGUCUCUCCAUUUUCCUCUCUCCAGACCAAUCUCCAGAUCAGAUUAUUGCUAGGCUCAAUACUAGCAGCAUGGUCUCCGAAAUCUUCACAACUUUGCUGCCAUUCAUUGAGGAAUCUGUGAAGUGGAACUUACCCAUCCCCACCGAUUGACAGUGACAAGAGGUCUACAACAUCAUCCACCGUCUAGUCCCUCUCUUUUCUCCUUUCCCGACAGUGCUGCAUCCCCCCCUUCCCCUUCUUCUUUCUUCCUCAUGGAAGACCUCCCAAAGGAAGCACAGGUGCUGCCAUCUUCGGCCAUCGUUGAUCAUAUCACUGGCGCCUGUCUUCUCUCGCUGUCGCUCUGCGCUAGUGUCUGCCCACUGCAGCCCAACAUGCCCGGAGUUAGCAGGAUCUCAUUUACUGUGUUCCUCCUCGCUGCGACGCCUCUAGUGCUGCAUUCACCAACACUACAGAUCUCGGUGGCCACUACCAGCUACACCGCCGGAGCUUCCCGUGCGAAAGACAUAAUGGCAGACUUCUUUCUCUUCUGAUCUGCCACUUAACGAACAAGCAGUAGCGGCCCUUGAUUGCUGAUUUUUGGACUUUGCUACCGACCGCUACUCCAGAUAUGGACAGCAGCGCCUUCGGGGUGCUUUUAUCAUAGCAGCGGCACCUUCAGCAACAGGACCGGUGGGCUUCAGGGACUUGAGCCGGGCAGCUCUCCCUCGUCUCCCAACUUGGUUCUCAUAUUUUGAUUAUAAAACUAAUUGAUAAUGUUAUAAUAUAAUCU
This 1247-nucleotide long non-coding RNA is filed under the name Musa acuminata (dwarf banana). RNAcentral's name for it is "long non-coding RNA (MACU_LNC009656)". The record is from RNAcentral. Lineage: Eukaryota; Viridiplantae; Streptophyta; Magnoliopsida; Zingiberales; Musaceae.